UGGGGAAUUUUGGACAAUGGGCGCAAGCCUGAUCCAGCCAUGCCGCGUGGGUGAAGAAGGCCUUCGGGUUGUAAAGCCCUUUUGUUGGGAAAGAAAUCCUGUCGGCUAAUACCCGGCGGGGAUGACGGUACCCAAAGAAUAAGCACCGGCUAACUUCGUGCCAGCAGCCGCGGUAAUACGAAGGGUGCAAGCGUUACUCGGAAUUACUGGGCGUAAAGCGUGCGUAGGCGGUUCGUUAAGUCUGUCGUGAAAGCCCUGGGCUCAACCUGGGAAUUGCGAUGGAUACUGGCGAGCUAGAGUACGGUAGAGGAUGGUGGAAUUCCCGGUGUAGCGGUGAAAUGCGUAGAGAUCGGGAGGAACACCCGUGGCGAAGGCGGCCAUCUGGACCAGUACUGACGCUGAGGCACGAAAGCGUGGGGAGCAAACA
RNAcentral lists this ribosomal RNA (427 nucleotides) under uncultured bacterium. Its description in RNAcentral is "bacterial SSU rRNA". It matches the Rfam family "Bacterial small subunit ribosomal RNA", at positions 355 to 774 of the family's 1533-position model. The record is from RNAcentral.